AACGAACGCUGGCGGCGUGUCUUAAGCAUGCAAGUCGUGCGGCAAGGGUAGCAAUACCCCUAGAGCGGCGGACUGGUGAGUAACGCGUGGGUGAUCUACCUUUGGGAUCCGGGGAUAGCCACUAGAAAUAGUGGGUAAUACCGAAUACGUUCGUCGGGCCUUGGCCUGACGAGGAAAGGCGCUUCGGCGCCACCCGAAGAUGAGCCCGCGUCCCAUUAGCUAGUUGGUGAGGUAAAGGCCCACCAAGGCGAUGAUGGGUAGGCGGCCUGAGAGGGUGUACGCCCACAUUGGGACUGAGAUACGGCCCAAACUCCUACGGGAGGCAGCAGCUAAGAAUAUUCCGCAAUGGACGAAAGUCUGACGGAGCGACGCCGCGUGGAUGAUGAAGGCCGAAAGGUUGUAAAGUCCUUUUGUUGGGAAGAAUAACCAUGGGAGGUAAUGCCCGUGGGAUGACAUGAACCGACGAAUAAGCCCCGGCUAACUACGUG
RNAcentral lists this ribosomal RNA (488 nucleotides) under uncultured bacterium. Its description in RNAcentral is "bacterial SSU rRNA". It matches the Rfam family "Bacterial small subunit ribosomal RNA", at positions 29 to 507 of the family's 1533-position model. The record is from RNAcentral.